GUGCUCGCUUUGGNAGCACAAANACUAAAAUUGGAACGAUACAGAGAAGAUUAGCAUGGCUCCUGCACAAGGAUGACUCGCAAAUUUGUGGAGUGUUCCAUUUUUAU
This 107-nucleotide small nuclear RNA is filed under the name Salvator merianae (Argentine black and white tegu). Lineage: Eukaryota; Metazoa; Chordata; Lepidosauria; Squamata; Teiidae. The record is from RNAcentral.